Non-coding RNA from Vigna angularis (adzuki bean), 119 nucleotides. The record is from Rfam. Lineage: Eukaryota; Viridiplantae; Streptophyta; Magnoliopsida; Fabales; Fabaceae.
UUAAGCGUGCUUGGGAGCGGUAAUGCAUCGGAUCCCAUCAGAACUCCGCAGUGAAGCGUGCUUGGGCGAGAGGAGUACUAGGAUGGGUGACCUCUUGGGAAGUCCUCGUGUUGCACCCC